RNAcentral lists this ribosomal RNA (101 nucleotides) under Schleiferilactobacillus perolens. RNAcentral's name for it is "Lactobacillus perolens partial 16S ribosomal RNA". It matches the Rfam family "Bacterial small subunit ribosomal RNA", at positions 1432 to 1532 of the family's 1533-position model. Lineage: Bacteria; Bacillati; Bacillota; Bacilli; Lactobacillales; Lactobacillaceae. The record is from RNAcentral.
GAGACAACCGCAAGGAGUCAGCCGUCUAAGGUGGGACAAAUGAUUAGGGUGAAGUCGUAACAAGGUAGCCGUAGGAGAACCUGCGGCUGGAUCACCUCCUU